AUUGAACGCUGGCGGCAUGCUUUACACAUGCAAGUCGAACGGAAACAUGGAGAGCUUGCUCUCUGAUGUCGAGUGGCGAACGGGUGAGUAAUACAUCGGAACAUGUCCUUUUGUGGGGGAUAACUACUCGAAAGAGUAGCUAAUACCGCAUAAGACCUAAGGGUGAAAGCGGGGGACCUUCGGGCCUCGCGCAGAUGGAGUGGCCGAUGACUGAUUAGCUAGUUGGUGGGGUAAAGGCCUACCAAGGCGACGAUCAGUAGCUGGUCUGAGAGGACGACCAGCCACAUUGGGACUGAGACACGGCCCAA
Molecule: ribosomal RNA, 308 nt
Filed under: uncultured bacterium
Lineage: Bacteria
Description: bacterial SSU rRNA
Rfam family: Bacterial small subunit ribosomal RNA
Source: RNAcentral